This 458-nucleotide ribosomal RNA is filed under the name uncultured bacterium. Its description in RNAcentral is "partial 16S ribosomal RNA". It matches the Rfam family "Bacterial small subunit ribosomal RNA", at positions 338 to 795 of the family's 1533-position model. The record is from RNAcentral.
CCUACGGGUGGCAGCAGUGAGGAAUAUUGGUCAAUGGGCGAGAGCCUGAACCAGCCAAGUCGCGUGAGGGAGUACUGCCCUAUGGGUUGUAAACCUCUUUUGUCGGGGAGCAAAAGCCGGACGUGUCCGGCUGUGAGAGUACCCGAAGAAAAAGCAUCGGCUAACUCCGUGCCAGCAGCCGCGGUAAUACGGAGGAUGCGAGCGUUAUUGGGAUUUAUUGGGUUUAAAGGGUGCGCAGGCGGAUGGUUAAGUCAGCGGUAAAAUCGUGGGGCUCAACCCCAUCCAGCCGUUGAAACUGGGGAUCUAGAGUGUGCGAGAGGGAUGCGGAAUGCGUGGUGUAGCGGUGAAAUGCAUAGAUAUCACGCAGAACCCCGAUUGCGAAGGCAGCAUACCGGUGCACAACUGACGCUCAGGCACGAAAGCGUGGGUAUCGAACAGGAUUAGAUACCCCGGUAGUC